RNAcentral lists this ribosomal RNA (570 nucleotides) under Phoma sp. OTU5 TS-2013. Its description in RNAcentral is "eukaryotic LSU rRNA". It matches the Rfam family "Eukaryotic large subunit ribosomal RNA", at positions 62 to 648 of the family's 3401-position model. The record is from RNAcentral. Lineage: Eukaryota; Fungi; Ascomycota; Dothideomycetes; Pleosporales; Didymellaceae.
AAACCAACAGGGAUUGCCCUAGUAACGGCGAGUGAAGCGGCAACAGCUCAAAUUUGAAAUCUGGCUCUUUCAGAGUCCGAGUUGUAAUUUGCAGAGGGCGCUUUGGUGUUGGCAGCGGUCCAAGUUCCUUGGAACAGGACGUCACAGAGGGUGAGAAUCCCGUACGUGGUCGCUAGCCUUCGCCGUGUAAAGCCCCUUCGACGAGUCGAGUUGUUUGGGAAUGCAGCUCUAAAUGGGAGGUAAAUUUCUUCUAAAGCUAAAUACUGGCCAGAGACCGAUAGCGCACAAGUAGAGUGAUCGAAAGAUGAAAAGCACUUUGGAAAGAGAGUCAAAUAGCACGUGAAAUUGUUGAAAGGGAAGCGCUUGCAGCCAGACUUGCCUGUAGUUGCUUAUCCGGACUUUUGUCCGGUGCACUCUUCUGCGGGCAGGCCAGCAUCAGUUUGGGCGGUUGGAUAAAGGUCUCUGUCAUGUACCUCUCUUCGGGGAGAACUUAUAGGGAGACGACAUGCCACCAGCCUGGACUGAGGUCCGCGCAUCUGCUAGGAUGCUGGCGUAAUGGCUGUAAGCGGC